RNAcentral lists this ribosomal RNA (468 nucleotides) under uncultured bacterium. Its description in RNAcentral is "partial 16S ribosomal RNA". It matches the Rfam family "Bacterial small subunit ribosomal RNA", at positions 28 to 507 of the family's 1533-position model. The record is from RNAcentral.
GAUGAACGCUGACAGAAUGCUUAACACAUGCAAGUCUACUUGAAUUUGGGUUUUUUAACUUAGAUUUGGGUGGCGGACGGGUGAGUAACGCGUAAAGAACUUGCCUCACAGUUAGGGACAACAUUUGGAAACGAAUGCUAAUACCUGAUAUUAUGAAUAUAUGGCAUCAUAUAAUUAUGAAAGCUAUAGGCGCUGUGAGAGAGCUUUGCGUCCCAUUAGCUAGUUGGAGAGGUAACGGCUCACCAAGGCGAUGAUGGGUAGCCGGCCUGAGAGGGUGAACGGCCACAAGGGGACUGAGACACGGCCCUUACUCCUACGGGAGGCAGCAGUGGGGAAUAUUGGACAAUGGACCAAGAGUCUGAUCCAGCAAUUCUGUGUGCACGAUGACGUUUUUCGGAAUGUAAAGUGCUUUCAGUUGGGAAGAAAAAAAUGACGGUACCAACAGAAGAAGUGACGGCUAAAUACGUG